Molecule: non-coding RNA, 90 nt
Filed under: Desulfuromonadales bacterium
Lineage: Bacteria; Pseudomonadati; Thermodesulfobacteriota; Desulfuromonadia; Desulfuromonadales
Description: c-di-GMP sequence
Rfam family: c-di-GMP-I riboswitch aptamer
About the family: GEMM was predicted in a large-scale screen for bacterial structured RNA regulatory elements. Genes associated with GEMM are involved in a diverse array of functions, including chemotaxis regulation, signal transduction, secretion and chitin.
Source: RNAcentral
AUAAAAAAUAGCCAAAUCCCAGGGUGACCGGAGAUGGAAAACCACGGGACUUGAUUUCACCUCUCUUUGAUAGUCGGCCGGGUUGCAGGA